AUCUUGAUGAUAUAUGUAGCACACUAUCAAAAAAUUUUAUUUUAAUCGGACAUCAUUAUGAUGGUCAAUUUAGCAUUCGAUGAUUUCGAUCGUUAAAUAAAAAAUGAGUGAUCAAAAGGCCAAACUACAUCCGAUUAAGAUAAUUUUUUAGAUAAAUAAUCUUUACUACCACUUUAAUCAUUUGAAUGAUGGUGAUCAUAAAAUCCAAAUUGUAUAUAUAUGAACCAUCAAAGAAUGGAUCUGAAGUUGCG
RNAcentral lists this long non-coding RNA (251 nucleotides) under Elaeis guineensis (African oil palm). RNAcentral's name for it is "long non-coding RNA (EGUI_LNC014841)". The record is from RNAcentral. Lineage: Eukaryota; Viridiplantae; Streptophyta; Magnoliopsida; Arecales; Arecaceae.